GUUAACUGAACCUUCGGGGAACGUUAACGGCGUCGAGCGGCGGACGGGUGAGUAAUGCCUAGGAAAUUGCCCUGAUGUGGGGGAUAACCAUUGGAAACGAUGGCUAAUACCGCAUGAUGCCUACGGGCCAAAGAGGGGGACCUUCGGGCCUCUCGCGUCAGGAUAUGCCUAGGUGGGAUUAGCUAGUUGGUGAGGUAAGGGCUCACCAAGGCGACGAUCCCUAGCUGGUCUGAGAGGAUGAUCAGCCACACUGGAACUGAGACACGGUCCAGACUCCUACGGGAGGCAGCAGUGGGGAAUAUUGCACAAUGGGCGCAAGCCUGAUGCAGCCAUGCCGCGUGUGUGAAGAAGGCCUUCGGGUUGUAAAGCACUUUCAGUCGUGAGGAAGGUAGUGUGUUUAAUAGAUGCAUUAUUUGACGUUAGCGACAGAAGAAGCACCGGCUAACUCCGUGCCAGCAGCCGCGGUAAUACGGAGGGUGCGAGCGUUAAUCGGAAUUACUGGGCGUAAAGCGCAUGCAGGUGGUUUGUUAAGUCAGAUGUGAAAGCCCGGGGCUCAACCUCGGAAUAGCAUUUGAAACUGGCAGACUAGAGUACUGUAGAGGGGGGUAGAAUUUCAGGUGUAGCGGUGAAAUGCGUAGAGAUCUGAAGGAAUACCGGUGGCGAAGGCGGCCCCCUGGACAGAUACUGACACUCAGAUGCGAAAGCGUGGGGAGCAAACAGGAUUAGAUACCCUGGUAGUCCACGCCGUAAACGAUGUCUACUUGGAGGUUGUGGCCUUGAGCCGUGGCUUUCGGAGCUAACGCGUUAAGUAGACCGCCUGGGGAGUACGGUCGCAAGAUUAAAACUCAAAUGAAUUGACGGGGGCCCGCACAAGCGGUGGAGCAUGUGGUUUAAUUCGAUGCAACGCGAAGAACCUUACCUACUCUUGACAUCCAGAGAACUUUCCAGAGAUGGAUUGGUGCCUUCGGGAACUCUGAGACAGGUGCUGCAUGGCUGUCGUCAGCUCGUGUUGUGAAAUGUUGGGUUAAGUCCCGCAACGAGCGCAACCCUUAUCCUUGUUUGCCAGCGAGUAAUGUCGGGAACUCCAGGGAGACUGCCGGUGAUAAACCGGAGGAAGGUGGGGACGACGUCAAGUCAUCAUGGCCCUUACGAGUAGGGCUACACACGUGCUACAAUGGCGCAUACAGAGGGCGGCCAACUUGCGAAAGUGAGCGAAUCCCAAAAAGUGCGUCGUAGUCCGGAUUGGAGUCUGCAACUCGACUCCAUGAAGUCGGAAUCGCUAGUAAUCGUGGAUCAGAAUGCCACGGUGAAUACGUUCCCGGGCCUUGUACACACCGCCCGUCACACCAUGGGAGUGGGCUGCAAAAGAAGUAGGUAGUUU
This 1381-nucleotide ribosomal RNA is filed under the name Vibrio sp. H-222. Its description in RNAcentral is "bacterial SSU rRNA". It matches the Rfam family "Bacterial small subunit ribosomal RNA", at positions 66 to 1436 of the family's 1533-position model. Lineage: Bacteria; Pseudomonadati; Pseudomonadota; Gammaproteobacteria; Vibrionales; Vibrionaceae. The record is from RNAcentral.